RNAcentral lists this ribosomal RNA (497 nucleotides) under uncultured bacterium. RNAcentral describes it as "partial 16S ribosomal RNA". It matches the Rfam family "Bacterial small subunit ribosomal RNA", at positions 28 to 507 of the family's 1533-position model. The record is from RNAcentral.
GAUGAACGCUGGCGGCGUGCCUAAUACAUGCAAGUCGAGCGAACAGACGAGGAGCUUGCUCCUCUGACGUUAGCGGCGGACGGGUGAGUAACACGUGGAUAACCUACCUAUAAGACUGGGAUAAGUUCGGGAAACCGGAGCUAAUACCGGAUAAUAUAUUGAACCUCAUGGUUCAAUAGUGAAAGACGGUUUUGCUGUCACUUAUAGAUGGAUCCGCGCCGCAUUAGCUAGUUGGUAAGGUAACGGCUUACCAAGGCAACGAUGCGUAGCCGACCUGAGAGGGUGACCGGCCACACUGGAACUGAGACACGGCCCAGACUCCUACGGGAGGCAGCAGUAGGGAAUCUUCCGCAAUGGGCGAAAGCCUGACGGAGCAACGCGGCGUGAGUGAUGAAGGUCUUCGGAUCGUAAAACUCUGUUAUUAGGGAAGAACAAAUGUGUAAGUAACUAUGCACGUCUUGACGGUACCUAAUCAGAAAGCCACGGCUAACUACGUG